Molecule: small nucleolar RNA, 69 nt
Organism: Neoarius graeffei (lesser salmon catfish)
Lineage: Eukaryota; Metazoa; Chordata; Actinopteri; Siluriformes; Ariidae
Product: small nucleolar RNA SNORD63
Exons: 1
Source: RefSeq, a predicted model, not a curated record
AUGCCAUGAUGAACCCAAUUCAACACAUCAUUCUUACUGUGAAGUGAAGAAACCUGAUCCCUGAGCAUA